UAUCUGUGAUGAUCCUAUCCCGAACCUGAAUUUCUGUCAAAAAAAAAAAAUUAAUACGGAUCUGGCUUCUGAGAU
Molecule: small nucleolar RNA, 75 nt
Organism: Artibeus jamaicensis (Jamaican fruit-eating bat)
Lineage: Eukaryota; Metazoa; Chordata; Mammalia; Chiroptera; Phyllostomidae
Product: small nucleolar RNA SNORD50
Exons: 1
Source: RefSeq, a predicted model, not a curated record